UCGAGCGAAAGCGAGAGAACGUUGCCAACGGCAACGGCCCGAAGGGUGAGGAGCGAAGCGACGAAUAAUCCUUCCCCCACCACCA
This 85-nucleotide small RNA is filed under the name Citrobacter freundii. RNAcentral's name for it is "partial RtT sRNA". It matches the Rfam family "RtT RNA", at positions 48 to 130 of the family's 130-position model. From Rfam's summary of the family: This family represents a bacterial cis-regulatory element known as RtT RNA. The exact function of RtT is unknown although it is thought that it may be involved in changing the cellular response in relation to amino acid starvation. The record is from RNAcentral. Lineage: Bacteria; Pseudomonadati; Pseudomonadota; Gammaproteobacteria; Enterobacterales; Enterobacteriaceae.